RNAcentral lists this unclassified non-coding RNA (373 nucleotides) under soil metagenome. Its description in RNAcentral is "partial contains 5.8S ribosomal RNA, internal transcribed spacer 2, and large subunit ribosomal RNA". The stretch from base 1 to 121 matches the Rfam family "5.8S ribosomal RNA", at positions 35 to 154 of the family's 154-position model. The record is from RNAcentral.
GAUGAAGAACGUAGCGAAAUGCGAUAAGUAAUGCGAAUUGCAGAAUUCCAGUGAGUCAUCGAAUCUUUGAACGCACAUUGCGCCCUUUGGUAUUCCGAAGGGCAUGCCUGUUCGAGCGUCAUUAUCACCCCUCAAGCCCUCGGCUUGGUGUUGGACGGUUUGGUGGAGGCCCCCUCGGGGGCUCCUGCCCCUCCCAAAGACAAUGACGGCGGCCUCGUUGGACCCCCGGUACACUGAGUUCUUCACGGGACACGUAUCGGACACGUGGGUUUACGGGACACGGUCUGCCUCCCCUCAGGGAGAAUCUUUCUAAGGUUGACCUCGGAUCAGGUAGGGAUACCCGCUGAACUUAAGCAUAUCAAUAAGCGGAGGA